This is a long non-coding RNA of Pundamilia nyererei, 86 nucleotides long. RefSeq lists it as uncharacterized. Lineage: Eukaryota; Metazoa; Chordata; Actinopteri; Cichliformes; Cichlidae. The record is from RefSeq and is a predicted model, not a curated record. The transcript has 3 exons.
GUGCCAUGGAGGAAAUUUCAUUACAAUUUCAGUUCUUUCUGAUCUCAUGGCUGCUCUGCUUAACAAACCAAGCUCGUCUGACUGUG